UGGACGUGUUGGUUGUGUGCCAGACACUCAGUGUGCAACCUCAACUCAGGCAAGGAAACGCCGUGAACUAAAGCAUUUCAGUAACGGCAGGAAAAGAAAAUAACCAUGAUUCCCACAGUAACGGCGAGUGAAGUGGGAAGAGUCCAACGUUGAAAGCGGCAUCUGUAACAAGGUGUGGCAUUGUAACGUAUAGACUUGUCAUCGAGGCGUCCGACCGGACUAAAGUCGUUAAGAAUGGCGCACCAUAGAGGGUUGUAGUCCCGUACAUGGUUCGGUAUCGGAUGUCGUGAAUGGCAAAGUCAAAGAGUCGGAUUGUUUGGGAAUGCAGUCCAAAGUGGGUGGUAAACUCCAUCUAAGGCUAAAUAUUACUCCGAGACCGAUAGCAAACAAGUACCGUGAGGGAAAGGUGAAAAGAAUUCUGAGAAGAGAGUGAGAAGAACGUGAAA
Molecule: non-coding RNA, 446 nt
Filed under: Thelohanellus kitauei
Lineage: Eukaryota; Metazoa; Cnidaria; Myxozoa; Bivalvulida; Myxobolidae
Description: Archaeal large subunit ribosomal RNA
Rfam family: Eukaryotic large subunit ribosomal RNA
Source: Rfam by way of RNAcentral